AAGAAUUUAAGUUAUUAAACUACUUGCCUUCAAAGCAAGAAAUGAUUAAGUCAAUUCUUG
This 60-nucleotide transfer RNA is filed under the name Eusyllis blomstrandi. RNAcentral describes it as "tRNA-Trp". It matches the Rfam family "tRNA". From Rfam's summary of the family: Transfer RNA (tRNA) molecules are approximately 80 nucleotides in length. The record is from RNAcentral. Lineage: Eukaryota; Metazoa; Annelida; Polychaeta; Phyllodocida; Syllidae.